GUAGGUGGCAAGCGUUGUCCGGAAUUAUUGGGCGUAAAGCGCGCGCAGGCGGUUCUUUAAGUCUGAUGUGAAAGCCCACGGGCUCAACCGUGGAGGGUCAUUGGAAACUGGAGAACUUGAGUACAGAAGAGGAAAGCGGAAUUCCACGUGUAGCGGUGAAAUGCGUAGAGAUGUGGAGGAACACCAGUGGCGAAGGCGGCUUUCUGGUCUGUAACUGACGCUGAGGCGCGAAAGCGUGGGGAGCAAACAGGAUUAGAUACCCUGGUAGUCCACGCCGUAAGCGAUGAGUGCUAAGUGUUAGGGGGUUUCCGCCCCUUAGUGCUGCAGCUAACGCAUUAAGCACUCCGCCUGGGGAGUACGGCCGCAAGGCUA
RNAcentral lists this ribosomal RNA (372 nucleotides) under uncultured organism. RNAcentral's name for it is "partial 16S ribosomal RNA". It matches the Rfam family "Bacterial small subunit ribosomal RNA", at positions 527 to 896 of the family's 1533-position model. The record is from RNAcentral.